CAGUCGAGCGAGCUUGCCUAGAUGAUUUUAGUGCUUGCACUAAAUGAAACUAGAUACAAGCGAGCGGCGGACGGGUGAGUAACACGUGGGUAACCUGCCCAAGAGACUGGGAUAACACCUGGAAACAGAUGCUAAUACCGGAUAACAACACUAGACGCAUGUCUAGAGUUUGAAAGAUGGUUCUGCUAUCACUCUUGGAUGGACCUGCGGUGCAUUAGCUAGUUGGUAAGGUAACGGCUUACCAAGGCAAUGAUGCAUAGCCGAGUUGAGAGACUGAUCGGCCACAUUGGGACUGAGACACGGCCCAAACUCCUACGGGAGGCAGCAGUAGGGAAUCUUCCACAAUGGACGAAAGUCUGAUGGAGCAACGCCGCGUGAGUGAAGAAGGGUUUCGGCUCGUAAAGCUCUGUUGGUAGUGAAGAAAGAUAGAGGUAGUAACUGGCCUUUAUUUGACGGUAAUUACUUAGAAAGUCACGGCUAACUACGUGCCAGCAGCCGCGGUAAUACGUAGGUGGCAAGCGUUGUCCGGAUUUAUUGGGCGUAAAGCGAGUGCAGGCGGUUCAAUAAGUCUGAUGUGAAAGCCUUCGGCUCAACCGGAGAAUUGCAUCAGAAACUGUUGAACUUGAGUGCAGAAGAGGAGAGUGGAACUCCAUGUGUAGCGGUGGAAUGCGUAGAUAUAUGGAAGAACACCAGUGGCGAAGGCGGCUCUCUGGUCUGCAACUGACGCUGAGGCUCGAAAGCAUGGGUAGCGAACAGGAUUAGAUACCCUGGUAGUCCAUGCCGUAAACGAUGAGUGCUAAGUGUUGGGAGG
Molecule: ribosomal RNA, 811 nt
Filed under: uncultured bacterium
Lineage: Bacteria
Description: bacterial SSU rRNA
Rfam family: Bacterial small subunit ribosomal RNA
Source: RNAcentral